GCCAUGGCUCAGUGGCAGAGCAUCUUCUUUGCAUGCAGAUGGUCUUAAGUUCAAUCCCCAACAUGUCCA
This is a non-coding RNA of Podarcis lilfordi (Lilford's wall lizard), 69 nucleotides long. Lineage: Eukaryota; Metazoa; Chordata; Lepidosauria; Squamata; Lacertidae. The record is from the annotation of a GenBank genome assembly.